RNAcentral lists this transfer-messenger RNA (363 nucleotides) under Escherichia coli. It matches the Rfam family "transfer-messenger RNA". From Rfam's summary of the family: Bacterial tmRNA, also known as 10Sa RNA or SsrA, is named for its dual tRNA and mRNA-like properties. Its role is to liberate the mRNA from a stalled ribosome. To accomplish this part of the tmRNA is used as a reading frame that ends in a translation stop signal. Lineage: Bacteria; Pseudomonadati; Pseudomonadota; Gammaproteobacteria; Enterobacterales; Enterobacteriaceae. The record is from RNAcentral.
GGGGCUGAUUCUGGAUUCGACGGGAUUUGCGAAACCCAAGGUGCAUGCCGAGGGGCGGUUGGCCUCGUAAAAAGCCGCAAAAAAUAGUCGCAAACGACGAAAACUACGCUUUAGCAGCUUAAUAACCUGCUUAGAGCUCUCUCUCCCUAGCCUCCGCUCUUAGGACGGGGAUCAAGAGAGGUCAAACCCAAAAGAGAUCGCGUGGAAGCCCUGCCUGGGGUUGAAGCGUUAAAACUUAAUCAGGCUAGUUUGUUAGUGGCGUGUCCGUCCGCAGCUGGCAAGCGAAUGUAAAGACUGACUAAGCAUGUAGUACCGAGGACGUAGGAAUUUCGGACGCGGGUUCAACUCCCGCCAGCUCCACCA